RNAcentral lists this ribosomal RNA (440 nucleotides) under uncultured bacterium. RNAcentral describes it as "partial 16S ribosomal RNA". It matches the Rfam family "Bacterial small subunit ribosomal RNA", at positions 338 to 795 of the family's 1533-position model. The record is from RNAcentral.
CCUACGGGGGGCAGCAGUAGGGAAUAUUGCUCAAUGGGGGAAACCCUGAAGCAGUAACGCCGCGUGGAGGAUGACGGUUUUCGGAUUGUAAACUCCUUUUGUUAGAGAAGAUAAUGACGUUAUCUAACGAGUAAUCACCGGAUAGCUCCGUGCGAGCAGCCGCGGUAAUACGUCGGGUGCAGGCGUUACUCGGAAUCACUGGGCGUAAAGAGCGCGUAGGCGGGAUAGCAAGUCAGAUGUGAAAUCCUAUGGCUCAACCAUAGAACUGCAUUUGAAACUGGUAUUCUAGAGUAUGGGAGAGGUAGGUGGAAUUCUUGGUGUAGGGGUAAAAUCCGUAGAGAUCAAGAGGAAUACUCAUUGCGAAGGCGACCUGCUAGAACAUAACUGACGCUGAUGCGCGAAAGCGUGGGGAGCAAACAGGAUUAGAUACCCGAGUAGUC